UGGGGGAUAUUGCACAAUGGGCGAAAGCCUGAUGCAGCGACGCCGCGUGGGGGAUGAAGGCCUUCGGGUUGUAAACUUCUUUUGCUCUGAACAAGGCAUGCUAAUGGGUGUGUUGAGUGUAGGGGUUGAUUAGCGCCGGCUAACUACGUGCCAGCAGCCGCGGUAAUACGUAGGGCGCGAGCGUUGUCCGGAAUUAUUGGGCGUAAAGGGCUUGUAGGUGGCUGGUUGCGUCUGUCGUGAAAGCUCAUGGCUUAACUGAGGGUUUGCGGUGGGUACGGGCUGGCUUGAGUGCAGUAGGGGAGGCUGGAAUUCCUGGUGUAGCGGUGGAAUGCGCAGAUAUCAGGAGGAAUACCGGUGGCGAAGGCGGGUCUCUGGGCUGUUACUGACACUGAGGAGCGAAAGCAUGGGGAGCGAACAGG
This 419-nucleotide ribosomal RNA is filed under the name bacterium. Its description in RNAcentral is "partial 16S ribosomal RNA". It matches the Rfam family "Bacterial small subunit ribosomal RNA", at positions 355 to 776 of the family's 1533-position model. The record is from RNAcentral.